This 1035-nucleotide long non-coding RNA is filed under the name Fukomys damarensis (Damara mole-rat). RNAcentral's name for it is "lncRNA (ENSFDAG00000026423.1)". The record is from RNAcentral. Lineage: Eukaryota; Metazoa; Chordata; Mammalia; Rodentia; Bathyergidae.
GUCUGGCUGCAGAGGUCAAAACUGCCUUAUUAAUUGUUAAUAAAGCUCAGUGAGGCCUUCAUCCUAUCUCUUUCCUACCUACAGUGCUUCCUGUCCCUACAAGAGUGCUGGGAUUAGAGGUAUGGACCACCAUGCCAGGGUGACAAACUUCUAUUCUUAAGUGAUGUAUGCUGAGCACUGAGAGUGAUGUGUCAUGAAAUGAAUCUAACUUUCCAAUGACUCGUAAACAGCAGAAGAAAACAAGCAGGCUGGCCCAGCUGCAGAUUGCCCAACCUGAGCAACCGGACCAACCUGAGCACAACAAGGUCACACAGUGCAUCAGACAGGGGAGCACCAGUGGCUAUGCUGUGCUCCUAGCCACCCAGGACACUCCCAGUGGACCUGGCACUAAAGGGAUGCCCAAGUUGGAGCCAGGCCCACAGAGGCAGCUUCUCGGGAACCUCAGAAACAGGCUGAAGGGUGACCAGGGGCAGCGACCACACAGGCAUGCUUUCUGCCUUGCGCCUCUUCACAGCAGUGGCUCCAUCAGCACCGAGCACUGGGACCAGCUCAAAGAAGAAUGCACGUGGAAGUUACAGUGACAGACCCGCCUACACCAUUCCUGUCUUUUCCAUCUGACAAAAAGUAGUUAUUUUAAAAUUUGAUCCUUUCUCUACCCUCUUCCCUUGGUUUGAAUUCUCUGCUGAGUUAUUUUGGUUCCUUUGGUGGGAAUCAACAUCCUAUCUACCACUAAAACUAAAUUAUCAGAUUUGAGGAGUUUUGUUUGUUUGAUUUUGCAACAGUGAGAAAGGACUUCUGUUAAGCUUACUUCUAGCAUACAUGAUUACUGUCUACUGUGUUCUGUAUUUAUUUGUUUUUUUACUAAAUGGAAAGUUAUCAAUAAAGCCUUUGUCAGAGGAUUUAUUUCUUUACAGAAAAGAAUACAGACUCAUAAAUCAGACAGACCUAAAUCUUUUCAAGUCACAUGACUGAGGGCAAGAUAUAAACCUAUCCAAACCACAGUUUUCUUGUCCCUGUAAAAUGGUAAUAUUAGAA